CCAUUCAGACCGUCGUCCAUCCCCAAUCUAGUCACUGCUAGCUAGGGAUUGCUCGCCGGCGAUCGCCCCAAUGUCGUCUGAUAUGCUUUCAUAAUCAAUCAGCAUUGUAUCAUAUAUCUCCUCCCUCUUCAGACAGGAAUUUGUCCUCAAGGUUUAAGGACGGAAAGAACGCCGCUAUCUUGGCUACGGUCUCCCAUGAAGAGUCUCCCGAUAAUGAGUCACUCCACUGAAUGAGUACCUGUUUUACUUUGCAUUUUCCUUUCCAAAUGAAUCUUGAAUCCAGUAUUGCGAUUGGGUAUAUCACAUGUCGAUUUUCAACAACAAUUAGUGGUUUUGCAGUAGUGGCAUUUUCUGG
Molecule: long non-coding RNA, 355 nt
Filed under: Zostera marina
Lineage: Eukaryota; Viridiplantae; Streptophyta; Magnoliopsida; Alismatales; Zosteraceae
Description: long non-coding RNA (ZMAR_LNC005350)
Source: RNAcentral